Molecule: long non-coding RNA, 586 nt
Filed under: Homo sapiens (human)
Lineage: Eukaryota; Metazoa; Chordata; Mammalia; Primates; Hominidae
Description: non-protein coding lnc-JAM3-5:1
Source: RNAcentral
GAAUGAGUGGGGUCCAGCUCUAGCCCCUGUGGCCAGCCUCAGAAGUGACCAUCGUCCAGAUGCAGCCUGUGGCCAACAGCUCUCCGUGGAGGAGCUGUGACUACUGAGGCCCCCAACCUCAUAGCUGUUCAGUAGGGGGCUGCUGAGGAGGUGCUCAAAGCCCCAGAUCCCAGGGAGGCGGGGGAUGGUGGGGACAGCACAGGUGUGGUCCAGGAUGUCCUCUUUGAGAUACCACAGAUGGAUGAAGGCUUGCAGAGCAUGUGCUGCUGAGUGAGGCUGAUGGGGAGCAGACCUGGUUCUGUGUGCAAGAGGUAGAAAGCCUUCCCCCAGAGCUGUCCGUGCUACCUGCCCCUGGCCCACCCGGACAGAAACUCCUCAUCAUCCGCAGCACCCCAGCUACUGAGCUGCUGGAGGAUAGCAGCACUGGGGCGGCCCCACCAUGCUGCAGCCCCUGGCCCCACUGCCACCUGGCCUAGCCUCUGCCUGCACAGGGCUCCUCAUUCGACCUGGAUGGAGGGCAGACCCUGAUGCAGGGACUGCCCUCCAUUCAGAUUGUCUAGACUCUAUCUGAAGUCCAGCUGGUGCA